RNAcentral lists this ribosomal RNA (433 nucleotides) under uncultured bacterium. RNAcentral's name for it is "partial 16S ribosomal RNA". It matches the Rfam family "Bacterial small subunit ribosomal RNA", at positions 29 to 507 of the family's 1533-position model. The record is from RNAcentral.
AACGAACGCUGGCGGCAUGCCUAACACAUGCAAGUCGAACGAGACCUUCGGGUCUUGUGGCGCACGGGUGCGUAACGCGUGGGAACCUGCCCUUAGGUUCGGAAUAACUCACCGAAAGGGGUGCUAAUACCGGAUAAUGUCUUCGGACCAAAGAUUUCUCGCCGUUGGAUGGGCCCGGGUUGGAUUAGCUGGUUGGUAGGGUAAAAGCCUGCCAAGGCGACGAUCCAGAGCUGGUCGGAGAGGAUGACCAGCCACACUGGGACUGAGACACGGCCCAGACUCCUACGGGAGGGAGCAGUGGGGAAUAUUGGACGAUGGGCGAAAGCCUGAUACAGCAACGCCGCGGGAGUGAUGAAGGCCUUAGGGUUGUAAAGCUCUUUUACCCGAGAUGAUAAUGACAGUACCGGGAGAAUAAGCUCCGGCUAACUCCGUG